GAAAUGCGAUAAGUAAUGUGAAUUGCAGAAUUCAGUGAAUCAUCGAAUCUUUGAACGCACAUUGCGCCCGCCAGUAUUCUGGCGGGCAUGCCUGUUCGAGCGUCAUUACAACCCUCAGGCCCCCGGGCCUGGCGUUGGGGAUCGGCGGAAGCCCCCUGCGGGCACAACGCCGUCCCCCAAAUACAGUGGCGGUCCCGCCGCAGCUUCCAUUGCGUAGUAGCUAACACCUCGCAAAUGGAGAGCGGCGCGGCCACGCCGUAAAACACCCAACUUCUGAAUGUUGACCUCGAAUCAGGUAGGAAUACCCGCUGAACUUAAGC
Molecule: unclassified non-coding RNA, 320 nt
Filed under: plant metagenome
Description: partial contains 5.8S ribosomal RNA, internal transcribed spacer 2, and large subunit ribosomal RNA
Rfam family: 5.8S ribosomal RNA (bases 1-105)
Source: RNAcentral